UUGUUGGUGAGGUAACGGCUCACCAAGGCGACGACGGGUACCAGGCGUGAGAGCGUGGCCUGGCACAUCGGGACUGAGACACUGCCCGGACAUCUACGGAUGGCUGCAGCAACGAAUAUUCCGCAAUGGACGAAAGUCUGACGGAGCGACGCCGCGUGCAGGAGGAAGCGCUUCGGCGUGUAAACUGCUGUCAGGGGUUAGGAAGCAAGUGACCAACCCCAAAGGAAGCCUCGGCUAACUCCGUGCCAGCAGCCGCGGUAAUACGGAGGGGGCAAGCGUUGUUCGGAAUCAUUGGGCUUAAAGCGUGUGUAGGCGGAAUGGAAGGCGCCUUGUGAAAUCCCUCGGCUCAACCGAGGAACUGCUUGGCGAACCGCCAUUCUUGAGGCCAGCAGGGGUACCUGGAACUAUGGGUGGAGCGGUGAAAUGCGUAGAUAUCCAUGGGAACGCCGGAGGCGAAAGCGGGGUACUGGGCUGGUUCUGACGCUGAGACACGAAAGCGUGGGGAGCAAACAGGAUUAGAUACCCUGGUAGUCCACGCCGUAAACGAUGCGCACUAGGUAUCAGGACUUCUGACGGUCUUGGUGCCGUAGCAAAAGCGAUAAGUGCGCCGCCUGGGGAGUACGGCCGCAAGGCUAAAACUCAAAGGAAUUGACGGGGGCUCACACAAGCGGUGGAGCAUGUGGAUUAAUUCGAAACAACGCGCAGAACCCUACCUGGGUUUGACAUGCACGGAUGCACCGGUGAAAGUCGGCUAUGCUACCCUUCGGGGUGAAACGUGCACAGGUGCUGCAUGGCUGUCGUCAGCUCGUGCUGUGAAGUGUCGGGUUAAGUCCCUUAACGAGCGGAACCCUUGUCGCUAGUUACCAGCGGGUCAUGCCGGGGACUCUAGCGAGACUGCCGGCGACAAGCCGGAGGAAGGUGGGGACGACGUCAAGUCAUCAUGGCCUUUAUGCCCAGGGUGUCACACGUGCUACAAUGGUGGAGACAGAGCGACGCGAACCCGUGAGGCAGAGCAAAUCGCAGAAACUCCAUCUCAGUUCGGAUUGCAGGCUGCAAUUCGCCUGCAUGAAGUUGGAAUCGCUAGUAAUCGCGUAUCAGCCAUGACGCGGUGAAUGAGUUCCUGAGCCUUGUACACACCGCCCGUCAAGUCAUGGAAGCUGGUAGUACCCGAAGUCCGUUUAGCUAACCUCGUGAGGCGGCGGCCGACGGUAAUACCGGUGACUGGGACUAAGUCGUAACAAGGUA
Molecule: ribosomal RNA, 1245 nt
Filed under: metagenome
Description: bacterial SSU rRNA
Rfam family: Bacterial small subunit ribosomal RNA
Source: RNAcentral